RNAcentral lists this ribosomal RNA (1080 nucleotides) under uncultured Arthrobacter sp. RNAcentral's name for it is "bacterial SSU rRNA". It matches the Rfam family "Bacterial small subunit ribosomal RNA", at positions 50 to 1112 of the family's 1533-position model. Lineage: Bacteria; Bacillati; Actinomycetota; Actinomycetes; Micrococcales; Micrococcaceae. The record is from RNAcentral.
GCUACAAUGCAGUCGAGCGAUGAUCCGGGGCUUGGACCGGGGAUGAGUGGCGAACGGGGGAGUAACACGUGAGUAACCUGCCCUUGACUCUCGGAUAUGCCUGGGAAACCGGGUCUAUUACCGGAUACGACCUUUCACCGCACGGGGGUUGGUGGAAAGAUUUUUUGGUUUUGGAUGGACUCGCGGCCUAUCACCUUGUUGGUGAGGUAAUGGCUCACCAAGGCUACCAAGGUAGCCGGCCUGAGAGGGUGACCGGCCACACUGGGACUGAUACACGGCCCAGACUCCUACGGGAGGCACGGUGGGGAAUAUUGCACAAUGGGCGAAAGCCUGAUGCAGCGACCCCACGUGAGGGAUGACGGCCUUCGGGGUGUAAACCUCUUUCAGCAGGGAAGAAGCGAAAGUGACGGUACCUGCAGAAUAAGCGCCGGCUAACUACGUGCCAGCAGCCGCGGUAAUACGUAAGGCGCUGCGUUGUCCGGAAUUAUUGGGCGUAAAGAGCUCGUAGGCCGUUUGUCGCGUCUGCUGUGAAAGCCCGGGGCUCAUCCCCGGGUCUGCAGUGGGUACGGGCAGACUAGAGUGCAGGAGGGGAGACUGGAAUUCCUGGUGUAUGGGUAAAAUGAGCAUAUAUCUCGAGGAACACCGAUGAAAUGCGCAGGUCUCUGGGCUGUAACUGACGCUGAGGAGCACUCUCUUGUCUAGCGAACACGAUUAGAUACCCUGGUAUGCCAUGCCAAAAACAUUGGAUACUAUGUGUGGGGGACAUUCCACGUUUUCCGCGCCGUAGCUAGAGCAUUACCUGCCUCUCCUGCUGCAGUACAGCCGCAAGGCUAAUCACUCAUAGGGAAUUGACGGCGGGACCACUACAAAGCUCACGAGAGACAUGCGCGAUGUAAUCUCGCAUGCAACGCGGAAAGAACCGUUGACCAUAGUUUUGACGUGGCAGCGGGACACGCCUUCACCANGUGCUUGAUCUCCUUCUGGAGACCGCUAUACAUGAUGGUGUCANCGNUUGUCGGUCAGCUACGUGAUCGNGAGAUGCUUGGGUGACGUCCGCUACUGAUCGCAGCNGUCGNNCUA